This 298-nucleotide unclassified non-coding RNA is filed under the name Basidiomycota sp. RNAcentral's name for it is "partial contains small subunit ribosomal RNA, internal transcribed spacer 1, and 5.8S ribosomal RNA". The stretch from base 1 to 47 matches the Rfam family "Eukaryotic small subunit ribosomal RNA", at positions 1785 to 1831 of the family's 1831-position model. The record is from RNAcentral. Lineage: Eukaryota; Fungi; Basidiomycota.
AAAGUCGUAACAAGGUUUCCGUAGGUGAACCUGCGGAAGGAUCAUUACAAAUCAUUUUACUAGUACUAUGUUGCACACUAUCCGAAGGAUAGGGGGCAAGAUAGUGUGUAUCGUACGGUGUGAGAGGGGAGUGCGCAUUGGGUUCGUGUGUCUAUCACACUAUCCACUUUACUCACUCCACUUUCACCCUCACCUUACACCUAACCCUACCCUCGAUCCAUCCAAAAUACCUCACUAUACUUUCACCAAAUUAUCCUUUCACUAGUAACAACUUGUAACAAUGGAUCUCUAGGCUCUU